This 405-nucleotide ribosomal RNA is filed under the name uncultured bacterium. RNAcentral's name for it is "partial 16S ribosomal RNA". It matches the Rfam family "Bacterial small subunit ribosomal RNA", at positions 28 to 526 of the family's 1533-position model. The record is from RNAcentral.
GAUGAACGCUGGCGGCGUGCCUAAUACAUGCAAGUCGAGCGAAGCGGGGACGGGUGAGGAACACGUGGAUAACCUCCUAUAAGGCUGGGAUAACUUCGGGAAAACGGUGCUAAACCCGCUACUUAUCCAUGGUUCCGCUUUGCAUUAGCUAGUGUGUAAGGUAACGGCUGACCAAGGCAACGAUGCAUAGCCGACCUGAGAGGGUGAUCGGCCACACGGGAACUGAGACACGGUCCAGACUCCGACGGGAGGCAGCAGUAGGGAAUCUUCCGCAAUGGGCGAAAGCCUGACGGAGCAACGCCGCGUGAGUGAUGAAGGUCUUCGGAUCGUAAAACUCUGUUAUUAGGGAAGCGGUACCUAAUCAGAAAGCCACGGCUAACUACGUGCCAGCAGCCGCGGUAAUUC